This 433-nucleotide ribosomal RNA is filed under the name uncultured bacterium. RNAcentral describes it as "bacterial SSU rRNA". It matches the Rfam family "Bacterial small subunit ribosomal RNA", at positions 29 to 507 of the family's 1533-position model. The record is from RNAcentral.
AGUGAACGCUGGCGGCAUGCCUAACACAUGCAAGUCGAACGAAGGCUUCGGCCUUAGUGGCGCACGGGUGCGUAACGCGUGGGAAUCUGCCCUUGGGUUCGGAAUAACUCAGAGAAAUUUGAGCUAAUACCGGAUGAUGACGUAAGUCCAAAGAUUUAUCGCCCAAGGAUGAGCCCGCGUAAGAUUAGCUAGUUGGUGGGGUAAAGGCCUACCAAGGCGACGAUCUUUAGCUGGUCUGAGAGGAUGAUCAGCCACACUGGGACUGAGACACGGCCCAGACUCCUACGGGAGGCAGCAGUGGGGAAUAUUGGACAAUGGGCGCAAGCCUGAUCCAGCAAUGCCGCGUGGAUGAAGAAGGUCUUCGGAUUGUAAAGUCCUUUCGACGGGGACGAUGAUGACGGUACCCGUAGAAGAAGCCCCGGCUAACUCCGUG